This 643-nucleotide long non-coding RNA is filed under the name Mus pahari (shrew mouse). RNAcentral describes it as "lncRNA (MGP_PahariEiJ_G0002845.1)". The record is from RNAcentral. Lineage: Eukaryota; Metazoa; Chordata; Mammalia; Rodentia; Muridae.
AUGGUUGUGGUGGAGACUGGUGCUCCAGAGACAUGGCAUUUGUAUGUAAGGUUUGAUGAGUAGCUACAGUGUAUCACACUCCUACACAGAAGGAUAAAAGGUAUACUAUAGAAGGAAAUAGCAUGCUACCAUGAAAGUUGGAAACAUGUGAAAUAAGCAGGAAAUGUCACUGAUUCUCAUAGCCUAGUGUACUGCCUAGUACUCACAGCCAGUGACUGCCUCUGACCAAAGCAGAAGAACUUUGUCCUCUGCUGUUUCUGACUUGUGCCAAUAUGAAGAACUCCUUGAAGCCUAUCAUCUCAUCAGCGCCAACUAUUGUCCAUGAGAAGAUUUGGGAUGAUGUAAGAUGCUAAGAUAUCUGCAGAACUUUAGAGGGUGGACAAUGCAGUGGUUGGCAUCAUGGUGGAAACUGGUCAACAUGAACUUGUUUCAAAUCCAACAAACACCCCACUUUUCGGACACAGUGGCAGGAAAUAUUCUAUGCUCUGCGACAGAUGAACUGGUUGAUACCCAAUGCAUAGAAGCCCGUGUUUAUCUAUGAAGUUCCCACCAGAAUGGAGAAUUGGCAAAGAGACAAUUAGCACCAGGGUGAUAGUGAUGAUGGCUAUAAACAAGUAAAAGAAUAAUAACUGGUCUUUAAAUU